Molecule: long non-coding RNA, 137 nt
Organism: Alosa sapidissima (American shad)
Lineage: Eukaryota; Metazoa; Chordata; Actinopteri; Clupeiformes; Clupeidae
Exons: 3
Source: RefSeq, a predicted model, not a curated record
GACGGGAGCAACGGAACGCAACGGACCCACAAUUCAGUUCGGCAACGGAUGACGUAAGCCCAUGUAAAGUGGAUGGGAUGCAUCUCCAGCACUGCACCGCACACAACUGUGUGUAGGAGCCAGUAUAGUCUGAAAAA